AUUUAAUAUAAUUCCAACAAUUUUAAUUCACCAUAUCCCAUUAAUAAUAUGCAGUUAAGAACGCUUGGUAUAGAGUAGUAUUGGGAUGGGUGACAUCCCCGGAAGUCCUGGCCUUUUACAUG
Non-coding RNA from Picea glauca (white spruce), 122 nucleotides. The record is from Rfam. Lineage: Eukaryota; Viridiplantae; Streptophyta; Pinopsida; Pinales; Pinaceae.